RNAcentral lists this ribosomal RNA (481 nucleotides) under marine sediment bacterium ISA-7216. Its description in RNAcentral is "bacterial SSU rRNA". It matches the Rfam family "Bacterial small subunit ribosomal RNA", at positions 37 to 500 of the family's 1533-position model. The record is from RNAcentral.
UGGCGGCGUGCCUAAUACAUGCAAGUCGAGCGGACAGAUGGGAGCUUGCUCCCUGAUGUUAGCGGCGGACGGGUGAGUAACACGUGGGUAACCUGCCUGUAAGACUGGGAUAACUCCGGGAAACCGGGGCUAAUACCGGAUGGUUGUUUGAACCGCAUGGUUCAAACAUAAAAGGUGGCUUCGGCUACCACUUACAGAUGGACCCGCGGCGCAUUAGCUAGUUGGUGAGGUAACGGCUCACCAAGGCAACGAUGCGUAGCCGACCUGAGAGGGUGAUCGGCCACACUGGGACUGAGACACGGCCCAGACUCCUACGGGAGGCAGCAGUAGGGAAUCUUCCGCAAUGGACGAAAGUCUGACGGAGCAACGCCGCGUGAGUGAUGAAGGUUUUCGGAUCGUAAAGCUCUGUUGUUAGGGAAGAACAAGUACCGUUCGAAUAGGGCGGUACCUUGACGGUACCUAACCAGAAAGCCACGGCUAA